UGGGUCCACCUCCCACCCGUGUCUAUCGUACCUUGUUGCUUCGGCGGGCCCGCCGUUUCGACGGCCGCCGGGGAGGCCCUGCGCCCCCGGGCCCGCGCCCGCCGAAGACCCCAACAUGAACGCUGUUCUGAAAGUAUGCAGUCUGAGUUGAUUAUCGUAAUCAGUUAAAACUUUCAACAACGGAUCUCUUGGUUCCGGCAUCGAUGAAGAACGCAGCGAAAUGCGAUAAGUAAUGUGAAUUGCAGAAUUCAGUGAAUCAUCGAGUCUUUGAACGCACAUUGCGCCCCCUGGUAUUCCGGGGGGCAUGCCUGUCCGAGCGUCAUUGCUGCCCUCAAGCACGGCUUGUGUGUUGGGCCCCCGUCCCCCUCUCCCGGGGGACGGGCCCGAAAGGCAGCGGCGGCACCGCGUCCGGUCCUCGAGCGUAUGGGGCUUUGUCACCUGCUCUGUAGGCCCGGCCGGCGCCAGCCGACACCCAACUUUAUUUUUCUAAGGUUGACCUCGGAUCAGGUAGGGAUACCCGCUGAACUUAAGCAUAUCAA
Molecule: ribosomal RNA, 539 nt
Filed under: Aspergillus fumigatus
Lineage: Eukaryota; Fungi; Ascomycota; Eurotiomycetes; Eurotiales; Aspergillaceae
Description: partial 18S ribosomal RNA
Rfam family: 5.8S ribosomal RNA (bases 169-322)
Source: RNAcentral